RNAcentral lists this ribosomal RNA (2901 nucleotides) under Escherichia coli. RNAcentral's name for it is "bacterial LSU rRNA". It matches the Rfam family "Bacterial large subunit ribosomal RNA". The record is from RNAcentral. Lineage: Bacteria; Pseudomonadati; Pseudomonadota; Gammaproteobacteria; Enterobacterales; Enterobacteriaceae.
UUAAGCGACUAAGCGUACACGGUGGAUGCCCUGGCAGUCAGAGGCGAUGAAGGACGUGCUAAUCUGCGAUAAGCGUCGGUAAGGUGAUAUGAACCGUUAUAACCGGCGAUUUCCGAAUGGGGAAACCCAGUGUGUUUCGACACACUAUCAUUAACUGAAUCCAUAGGUUAAUGAGGCGAACCGGGGGAACUGAAACAUCUAAGUACCCCGAGGAAAAGAAAUCAACCGAGAUUCCCCCAGUAGCGGCGAGCGAACGGGGAGCAGCCCAGAGCCUGAAUCAGUGUGUGUGUUAGUGGAAGCGUCUGGAAAGGCGCGCGAUACAGGGUGACAGCCCCGUACACAAAAAUGCACAUGCUGUGAGCUCGAUGAGUAGGGCGGGACACGUGGUAUCCUGUCUGAAUAUGGGGGGACCAUCCUCCAAGGCUAAAUACUCCUGACUGACCGAUAGUGAACCAGUACCGUGAGGGAAAGGCGAAAAGAACCCCGGCGAGGGGAGUGAAAAAGAACCUGAAACCGUGUACGUACAAGCAGUGGGAGCCUCUUUAUGGGGUGACUGCGUACCUUUUGUAUAAUGGGUCAGCGACUUAUAUUCUGUAGCAAGGUUAACCGAAUAGGGGAGCCGAAGGGAAACCGAGUCUUAACUGGGCGUUAAGUUGCAGGGUAUAGACCCGAAACCCGGUGAUCUAGCCAUGGGCAGGUUGAAGGUUGGGUAACACUAACUGGAGGACCGAACCGACUAAUGUUGAAAAAUUAGCGGAUGACUUGUGGCUGGGGGUGAAAGGCCAAUCAAACCGGGAGAUAGCUGGUUCUCCCCGAAAGCUAUUUAGGUAGCGCCUCGUGAACUCAUCUCCGGGGGUAGAGCACUGUUUCGGCAAGGGGGUCAUCCCGACUUACCAACCCGAUGCAAACUGCGAAUACCGGAGAAUGUUAUCACGGGAGACACACGGCGGGUGCUAACGUCCGUCGUGAAGAGGGAAACAACCCAGACCGCCAGCUAAGGUCCCAAAGUCAUGGUUAAGUGGGAAACGAUGUGGGAAGGCCCAGACAGCCAGGAUGUUGGCUUAGAAGCAGCCAUCAUUUAAAGAAAGCGUAAUAGCUCACUGGUCGAGUCGGCCUGCGCGGAAGAUGUAACGGGGCUAAACCAUGCACCGAAGCUGCGGCAGCGACGCUUAUGCGUUGUUGGGUAGGGGAGCGUUCUGUAAGCCUGUGAAGGUGUGCUGUGAGGCAUGCUGGAGGUAUCAGAAGUGCGAAUGCUGACAUAAGUAACGAUAAAGCGGGUGAAAAGCCCGCUCGCCGGAAGACCAAGGGUUCCUGUCCAACGUUAAUCGGGGCAGGGUGAGUCGACCCCUAAGGCGAGGCCGAAAGGCGUAGUCGAUGGGAAACAGGUUAAUAUUCCUGUACUUGGUGUUACUGCGAAGGGGGGACGGAGAAGGCUAUGUUGGCCGGGCGACGGUUGUCCCGGUUUAAGCGUGUAGGCUGGUUUUCCAGGCAAAUCCGGAAAAUCAAGGCUGAGGCGUGAUGACGAGGCACUACGGUGCUGAAGCAACAAAUGCCCUGCUUCCAGGAAAAGCCUCUAAGCAUCAGGUAACAUCAAAUCGUACCCCAAACCGACACAGGUGGUCAGGUAGAGAAUACCAAGGCGCUUGAGAGAACUCGGGUGAAGGAACUAGGCAAAAUGGUGCCGUAACUUCGGGAGAAGGCACGCUGAUAUGUAGGUGAAGCGACUUGCUCGUGGAGCUGAAAUCAGUCGAAGAUACCAGCUGGCUGCAACUGUUUAUUAAAAACACAGCACUGUGCAAACACGAAAGUGGACGUAUACGGUGUGACGCCUGCCCGGUGCCGGAAGGUUAAUUGAUGGGGUUAGCGCAAGCGAAGCUCUUGAUCGAAGCCCCGGUAAACGGCGGCCGUAACUAUAACGGUCCUAAGGUAGCGAAAUUCCUUGUCGGGUAAGUUCCGACCUGCACGAAUGGCGUAAUGAUGGCCAGGCUGUCUCCACCCGAGACUCAGUGAAAUUGAACUCGCUGUGAAGAUGCAGUGUACCCGCGGCAAGACGGAAAGACCCCGUGAACCUUUACUAUAGCUUGACACUGAACAUUGAGCCUUGAUGUGUAGGAUAGGUGGGAGGCUUUGAAGUGUGGACGCCAGUCUGCAUGGAGCCGACCUUGAAAUACCACCCUUUAAUGUUUGAUGUUCUAACGUUGACCCGUAAUCCGGGUUGCGGACAGUGUCUGGUGGGUAGUUUGACUGGGGCGGUCUCCUCCUAAAGAGUAACGGAGGAGCACGAAGGUUGGCUAAUCCUGGUCGGACAUCAGGAGGUUAGUGCAAUGGCAUAAGCCAGCUUGACUGCGAGCGUGACGGCGCGAGCAGGUGCGAAAGCAGGUCAUAGUGAUCCGGUGGUUCUGAAUGGAAGGGCCAUCGCUCAACGGAUAAAAGGUACUCCGGGGAUAACAGGCUGAUACCGCCCAAGAGUUCAUAUCGACGGCGGUGUUUGGCACCUCGAUGUCGGCUCAUCACAUCCUGGGGCUGAAGUAGGUCCCAAGGGUAUGGCUGUUCGCCAUUUAAAGUGGUACGCGAGCUGGGUUUAGAACGUCGUGAGACAGUUCGGUCCCUAUCUGCCGUGGGCGCUGGAGAACUGAGGGGGGCUGCUCCUAGUACGAGAGGACCGGAGUGGACGCAUCACUGGUGUUCGGGUUGUCAUGCCAAUGGCACUGCCCGGUAGCUAAAUGCGGAAGAGAUAAGUGCUGAAAGCAUCUAAGCACGAAACUUGCCCCGAGAUGAGUUCUCCCUGACCCUUUAAGGGUCCUGAAGGAACGUUGAAGACGACGACGUUGAUAGGCCGGGUGUGUAAGCGCAGCGAUGCGUUGAGCUAACCGGUACUAAUGAACCGUGAGGCUUAACCUU